UAGGGAAUUUUCCGCAAUGGGCGAAAGCCUGACGGAGCAAUCUCGCGUGAGGGAUGACGGCCUAUGGGUUGUAAACCUCUUUUUCAGGGAGGAACAAAAUGACGUGUACCUGAAGAAUAAGCAUCGGCUAACUCCGUGCCAGCAGCCGCGGUAAGACGGAGGAUGCAAGUGUUAUCCGGAAUCACUGGGCGUAAAGCGUCUGUAGGUGGUUUAGUAAGUCAACUGUUAAAUCUUGAAGCUCAACUUCAAAAUCGCAGUCGAAACUAUUAGACUAGAGUAUAGUAGGGUAAAGGGAAUUUCCAGUGGAGCGGUGAAAUGCGUAGAGAUUGGAAAGAACACCGAUGGCGAAG
This 350-nucleotide ribosomal RNA is filed under the name uncultured bacterium. RNAcentral describes it as "bacterial SSU rRNA". It matches the Rfam family "Bacterial small subunit ribosomal RNA", at positions 355 to 720 of the family's 1533-position model. The record is from RNAcentral.